This 301-nucleotide ribosomal RNA is filed under the name uncultured bacterium. RNAcentral describes it as "partial 16S ribosomal RNA". It matches the Rfam family "Bacterial small subunit ribosomal RNA", at positions 509 to 807 of the family's 1533-position model. The record is from RNAcentral.
CAGCAGCCGCGGGAAUACAGAGGGUGCAAGCGUUAAUCGGAAUUACUGGGCGUAAAGCGUGCGUAGGCGGCUAAUUGAGUCGGAUGUGAAAUCCCCGAGCUUAACUUGGGAAUUGCAUUCGAUACUGGUUAGCUAGAGUGUGGGAGAGGAUGGUAGAAUUCCAGGUGUAGCGGUGAAAUGCGUAGAGAUCUGGAGGAAUACCGAUGGCGAAGGCAGCCAUCUGGCCUAACACUGACGCUGAGGUACGAAAGCAUGGGGAGCAAACAGGAUUAGAUACCCCCGUAGUCCCUGUCUCUUAUAC